GUGCUCACUUCGACAUCACAUACGCUAGAAUUGGAAGAAUAUUAAGAAGAUUAACAUGGCCCCCUGCAGGAGGAUGACAGAAAAUCUCAACUGGAUAGGCAGUCAGUACCUUUAUUU
Small nuclear RNA from Ochotona princeps (American pika), 117 nucleotides. NCBI's taxonomy places the organism in Eukaryota, Metazoa, Chordata, Mammalia, Lagomorpha, Ochotonidae. The record is from Ensembl.